This 253-nucleotide ribosomal RNA is filed under the name uncultured bacterium. Its description in RNAcentral is "partial 16S ribosomal RNA". It matches the Rfam family "Bacterial small subunit ribosomal RNA", at positions 524 to 776 of the family's 1533-position model. The record is from RNAcentral.
UACGGAGGGUGCAAGCGUUAUCCGGAUUUACUGGGUUUAAAGGGUGCGUAGGCGGGUUGUUAAGUCAGUGGUGAAAGAUUCGAGCUUAACUCGGAAACUGCCAUUGAUACUGAUGACCUUGAAUACAGUUGAGGUAGGCGGAAUGUGUCAUGUAGCGGUGAAAUGCUUAGAUAUGACACAGAACACCGAUUGCGAAGGCAGCUUGCUAAACUGUUAUUGACGCUGAGGCACGAAAGCGUGGGGAUCAAACAGG